GACGAACGCUGGCGGCGUGCUUAACACAUGCAAGUCGAACGGAAAGGCCCUGCUUGCCGGGUACUCGAGUGGCGAACGGGUGAGUAACACGUGGGUGCUCUGCCCUGCACUUCGGGAUAAGCCUGGGAAACUGGGUCUAAUACCGGAUAGGAGCCAUUUUUAGUGUGAUGGUUGGAAAGUUUUUUCGGUGUAGGAUGAGCUCGCGGCCUAUCAGCUUGUUGGUGGGGUAAUGGCCUACCAAGGCGGCGACGGGUAGCCGGCCUGGGAGGGUGGACGGCCACAUUGGGACUGAGAGACGGCCCAGACUCCGACGGGGGGCAGCAGUGGGGAAUAUUGCACAAUGGGCGCAAGCCUGAUGCAGCGACGCCGCGGGGGGGAUGACGGCCUUCGGGUUGGAAACUCCUUUCGCUAGGGACGAAGCUUUUUGUGACGGUACCUAGAUAAGAAGCACCGGCUAACUACGUG
Molecule: ribosomal RNA, 465 nt
Filed under: uncultured bacterium
Lineage: Bacteria
Description: partial 16S ribosomal RNA
Rfam family: Bacterial small subunit ribosomal RNA
Source: RNAcentral